Molecule: ribosomal RNA, 583 nt
Filed under: uncultured Lachnospiraceae bacterium
Lineage: Bacteria; Bacillati; Bacillota; Clostridia; Lachnospirales; Lachnospiraceae
Description: bacterial SSU rRNA
Rfam family: Bacterial small subunit ribosomal RNA
Source: RNAcentral
GGGAUAACAGUUAGAAAUGACUGCUAAUACCGCAUAAGCGCACAGUGCUGCAUGGCACAGUGUGAAAAACUCCGGUGGUAUGAGAUGGACCCGCGUCUGAUUAGCUAGUUGGUGGGGUAACGGCCUACCAAGGCGACGAUCAGUAGCCGGCCUGAGAGGGUGAACGGCCACAUUGGGACUGAGACACGGCCCAAACUCCUACGGGAGGCAGCAGUGGGGAAUAUUGCACAAUGGGGGAAACCCUGAUGCAGCGACGCCGCGUGAGCGAAGAAGUAUUUCGGUAUGUAAAGCUCUAUCAGCAGGGAAGAAAAUGACGGUACCUGACUAAGAAGCACCGGCUAAAUACGUGCCAGCAGCCGCGGUAAUACGUAUGGUGCAAGCGUUAUCCGGAUUUACUGGGUGUAAAGGGAGCGUAGACGGUUGUGUAAGUCUGAUGUGAAAGCCCGGGGCUCAACCCCGGGACUGCAUUGGAAACUAUGUAACUAGAGUGUCGGAGAGGUAAGCGGAAUUCCUAGUGUAGCGGUGAAAUGCGUAGAUAUUAGGAGGACACCAGUGGCGAAGCGGCUUACUGGACGAUCACUGA